Molecule: small RNA, 943 nt
Filed under: Spiroplasma taiwanense
Lineage: Bacteria; Bacillati; Mycoplasmatota; Mollicutes; Entomoplasmatales; Spiroplasmataceae
Description: bacterial LSU rRNA
Rfam family: Bacterial large subunit ribosomal RNA (bases 444-943)
Source: RNAcentral
UACACACCGCCCGUCACACCAUGAGAGUUGGUAAUACCAGAAGCACGUAUCUUAACCGUAAGGAGGGAGCGUACCAAGGUAGGAUUAGCGAUUAGGGUGAAGUCGUAACAAGGUAUCCGUACGGGAACGUGCGGAUGGAUCACCUCCUUUCUAUGGAGUAUUCGUAGAUUUAGAGAAAAAGCUGUGUGAAAUAUAAAACAGCUUUUGGUUAUAUCUAAGUUCUAUCUAGUUUUCAGAGAUUGUUUUUUAUGGGCCUUUUGGCCCAGACAAUUUCUGAAAAGAAAAUCGUUCUUUGAAAACUGAAUAUUAGAUGAAAAUAGACAUUUUAUUUUUCUUACGUUUCAUAUAUGAAAACGUAUUUAGUAACUUAAAAACAAUUACUAAGAAAACUAAAAUUUCAUUAAUUUUAUAGAUUAUCUAUAUAUGCAAAUAGGUUUUUCUUUAGAAAGUAUAGUAAGGGCGUAUGGUGAAUGCCUUGGAAAAUGGAGCCGAUGAAGGACGCGACUACCUGCGAAAAGCGCCGGGGAGCUGGAAGUAAGCUUUGAUCCGACGAUAUCCGAAUGGGGAAACCCACUAUGAUUAAUCUCAUAGUAUCCACAACUGAAUACAUAGGUUGUGUGAAGGGAACCUAGGGAACUGAAACAUCUUAGUACCUAGAGGAAAAGAAAACGAAUGUGAUUCUGUUAGUAGCGGCGAGCGAAAGCGGAACAGGCCAAACCGGUCUACGGGCCGGGGUUGUAGGACUCUUGUUAGAGUUACAAAGUUAGUGUAUAGCAGAAGCUGUUGGGAAGCAGUGACAUAGAGGGUGAUAUCCCCGUAUGCAAAAUGCACUAACCUCGAAAGAGUAUCCUGAGUACGGCGGGGCACGUGGAACCCUGUUGGAAUCUACCCAGACCACUGGGUAAGCCUAAAUACUACCAUUUUACCGAUAGUGAACCAGUAC